Molecule: signal recognition particle RNA, 295 nt
Filed under: Aotus nancymaae (Ma's night monkey)
Lineage: Eukaryota; Metazoa; Chordata; Mammalia; Primates; Aotidae
Description: Metazoan signal recognition particle RNA (ENSANAG00000010540.1)
Rfam family: Metazoan signal recognition particle RNA
About the family: The signal recognition particle (SRP) is a universally conserved ribonucleoprotein. It is involved in the co-translational targeting of proteins to membranes.
Source: RNAcentral
GCCGGGUGCGGCGCAUGCCUGUAGUCCCAGCUUCUCAGGAGGCUGAGGCUGGAGGAUCGCUUGAGCCUGGGAGUUCUGGGCUGUAGUGCGCUAUGCCGAUCGCUAUGCUGCACUAAGUUCGGCAUCAAUAUGGUGACCUCCUGGGAGCAGGGGACCACUAGUUUGCCUAAGGAAGGGUGAACUGGCCCAGGUCUGAAAUGGAGCAGGUCAAAACUCCCGUGCUGAUCAGCAGUGGGAGCGCACCUGUGAAUAGCCGCUGCACUCCAGCCUGGGCACAUAGUGAGACCCGGUCUCU